Molecule: ribosomal RNA, 465 nt
Filed under: uncultured bacterium
Lineage: Bacteria
Description: partial 16S ribosomal RNA
Rfam family: Bacterial small subunit ribosomal RNA
Source: RNAcentral
AUGAACGCUGGCGGCGUGCUUAACACAUGCCAGUCGCACGAUGAAGCCCAGCUUGCUGGGUGGAUUAGUGGCGAACGGGUGAGUAACACGUGAGUAACCUGCCCUUAACUCUGGGAUAAGCCUGGGAAACUGGGUCUAAUACCGGAUAGGAGCGCCUACCGCAUGGUGGGUGUUGGAAAGAUUUAUCGGUUUUGGAUGGACUCGCGGCCUAUCAGCUUGUUGGUGAGGUAAUGGCUCACCAAGGCGACGACGGGUAGCCGGCCUGAGAGGGUGACCGGCCACACUGGGACUGAGACACGGCCCAGACUCCUACGGGAGGCAGCAGUGGGGAAUAUUGCACAAUGGGCGAAAGCCUGAUGCAGCGACGCCGCGUGAGGGAUGACGGCCUUCGGGUUGUAAACCUCUUUCAGUAGGGAAGAAGCGAAAGUGACGGUACCUGCAGAAGAAGCACCGGCUAACUACGUG